Molecule: ribosomal RNA, 523 nt
Filed under: uncultured bacterium
Lineage: Bacteria
Description: SSU rRNA
Rfam family: Bacterial small subunit ribosomal RNA
Source: RNAcentral
UGUGGGACGAAGGCCUUCGGGUCGUAAACCACUGUCAGUGGGAAAGAUGGGUGUCGGCGUGAUAACCGCCGGCAUUUGACGGUACCUGCAGAGGAAGCCCCGGCUAACUCUGUGCCAGCAGCCGCGGUAAGACAGAGGGGGCAAGCGUUGCUCGGAAUUACUGGGCGUAAAGGGCGCGUAGGCGGGAUGGCAAGUCGGUCGUGAAAUCCCUCGGCUCAACUGAGGAUCGUCGAUCGAUACUGCCGUUCUUGAGGAUUGCAGAGGAGACUGGAAUUCCCGGUGUAGCGGUGAAAUGUGUAGAGAUCGGGAGGAACACCGGUGGCGAAGGCGGGUCUCUGGGCAAUUCCUGACGCUGAGGCGCGAAAGCGUGGGGAGCAAACGGGAUUAGAUACCCCGGUAGUCCACGCUGUAAACGAUGACGACUAGGUGUGGGGGGGUUCAGCCCCUUCCGUGCCACAGCUAACGCAUUAAGUCGUCCGCCUGGGGAGUACGGCCGCAAGGUUGAAACUCAAAGGAAUUGACG